GUUAAAAUAGUUUAAUAAAAACCCUAUUUUUUCGAGAUAGAUAUGCGUCUUAAGCGCUUUUAAUA
RNAcentral lists this transfer RNA (65 nucleotides) under Bulla sp. TLT-2006. Its description in RNAcentral is "tRNA-Glu". Lineage: Eukaryota; Metazoa; Mollusca; Gastropoda; Cephalaspidea; Bullidae. The record is from RNAcentral.